GCCGAAGUGGCGGAAUUGGCAGACGCGCUGGACUCAAAAUCCAGUGAGCCGAGAGGUUCGUGCCGGUUCGAUCCCGGCCUUCGGCACCA
Molecule: transfer RNA, 89 nt
Filed under: Actinomycetes bacterium
Lineage: Bacteria; Bacillati; Actinomycetota; Actinomycetes
Also listed under: 3 other names
Description: tRNA-Leu
Rfam family: tRNA
About the family: Transfer RNA (tRNA) molecules are approximately 80 nucleotides in length.
Source: RNAcentral